GGUGGCUCAGUGGUAGAGUGCUUGUCUUGCAUGCAUGAGGCCCUGCGUUCGAUUCCUCAGCACCA
Molecule: transfer RNA, 65 nt
Filed under: Dipodomys ordii (Ord's kangaroo rat)
Lineage: Eukaryota; Metazoa; Chordata; Mammalia; Rodentia; Heteromyidae
Rfam family: tRNA
About the family: Transfer RNA (tRNA) molecules are approximately 80 nucleotides in length. Their secondary structure includes four short double-helical elements and three loops (D, anti-codon, and T loops). Further hydrogen bonds mediate the characteristic L-shaped molecular structure. tRNAs have two regions of fundamental functional importance: the anti-codon, which is responsible for specific mRNA codon recognition, and the 3' end, to which the tRNAs corresponding amino acid is attached (by aminoacyl-tRNA synthetases). tRNAs cope with the degeneracy of the genetic code in two manners: having more than one tRNA (with a specific anti-codon) for a particular amino acid; and 'wobble' base-pairing, i.e. permitting non-standard base-pairing at the 3rd anti-codon position.
Source: Rfam by way of RNAcentral